Non-coding RNA from Ictidomys tridecemlineatus (thirteen-lined ground squirrel), 1511 nucleotides. The record is from RefSeq and is a predicted model, not a curated record. Lineage: Eukaryota; Metazoa; Chordata; Mammalia; Rodentia; Sciuridae.
CAUGUUGCCAGAGACUUAGGAGAUUGCUGAAGGUGAGAGCCCUGCUGAACAGAAGUAACUCUCUGCAUGAUCACUCAGCAAUUAACUGGAUCUCAUUCAUGGGAAAUAUGUCUAUGAGGCAACCUGAGAGAGACAUUAGAGAAGGAGUCCCCAAACUAACAAAUGUAUGAAGGAAGGCAGUGAGAAAAAGCCACAAGGCAGUAGAAUCACAAAUGAUCAGAAAGUGCAAUAGGAGAAUUGAAUAGAGAGGUACCAUUCAGGAAGAGCACAGGAGGAAGGAGCAUGUGGACUGGGAGGCAGAGAUGGAGAAUCUGGAUCCUGGGGUAUGUGGGUGGGAGGUGAAAAUGAUGAGAGAUAGAGCAAGGUCACCAGAACUAAUGUUGAACUACAAGACCAACUGUCCUAUCCUGAAUAGUGGGCCUUCCCAAUGUAGAACUGAAGAGGGGUCCUGAUGGACUAAGAGUGGGCCCUGAGCAGGUCACACAUUUGUCUUCAAGUUGAUCACUAGUGAGUGUAAAAGAUGAGACUUCUCUUUUUUUUGGAUUUGAGGCUUGAACCUAGGGCCACUUAACCCCUGAGCCAUAUUCCCAGACCUUUUUAACUGAUACGGGAUCUUGCUAAGUUGCUUAGGACCUCAUUAAGUUGCUGAGUUUGGUCUCAAUCUUGCAAUCUUCUGUUUCAGCCUCUCUCUGAAGUUUCUGGCAUUACAGGCAUAAGUCACUGCACCUGGCAAGAUGGUACUUUGUCUGAGGACAAGGGUCCUCCAAGCCAGGAGUUCUGAAAUAUUUCUUCAAAAGAAGGGGAGAACACAUCAUCCCAAAGACUAAAAGAAAGAGACAGAUCUCUGAAGAAAUAUUUACUGUGGGAUUUGGAAGAAAUUUUCAGGAAAUUUCAUCACUGGGAUUCUGCAAUAGCGUUCACCAGCUGUAUGCCACACAGCACGAUCUCCAGACACGAGGCAACCACCAGCAACGAGAAAAGCGUCAAAUUCCAGAGAACCACGUUGGGUGGCUCCUCGCACAAAUACCAUUGAGUACGGUUGAACAAUCCCACUUGUCAUCCACUAAGCAUUUGGGUCCAGUUUGGAGGCCAGCUCCUGACACGCCAAGGCAGUAGAUGGCGCCAAGCACUCCAAUGGCCGAGGAGAAGAUAGAACGCAGCAUCUGGACCCGGUGUGGAAGAUCUCACCCUGCAGCGAUUCCCACAGCAGCCUGUUCCACAACAGCCCUUGCCCCCUGCCCGAACCGCAGCGAUUCCUGGACACAGCACCUGUGGGACAAGAAUCAGUGUGAUAAUGUGAACCCUCCACUCCAGCCCAGAUCCUCAAGGUCUUCACCUCCUAUGGAUGCUGCCUAUGGUGUCCUCAAUCCUUUGGACUAUAGGAAGAUCUUAUCUCUACCUGUCCUGGAACGUGCCUAUCUUAACAAAACUUUAUUUAUAUGCCUAUCUUAACUCUGUCCAUAUUGUAGCUUCCUUGAGGGUUCGGUUCAAUAUUAAACAGUUCCCAUAAA